GUCGACUGGAAUUCUUCUUCGGAAGAUAGUACGGUGGCGGACGGGUGAGUAACGCGUAAAGAAUUUGCCCUUCAGACUGGGACAACUAAUCGAAAGGUUAGCUAAUACCGGAUAUUAUGAGACCUUGGCAUCAAGGACUUAUGAAAGCUAUAUGCGCUGGAGGAGAACUUUGCGUUCCAUUAGCUAGUUGGUAGGGUAAUGGCCUACCAAGGCGACGAUGGAUAGCCGGCCUGAGAGGGUGAACGGCCACAAGGGGACUGAGACACGGCCCUUACUCCUACGGGAGGCAGCAGUGGGGAAUAUUGGACAAUGGACCAAAAGUCUGAUCCAGCAAUUCUGUGUGCACGAUGAA
This 352-nucleotide ribosomal RNA is filed under the name uncultured Psychrilyobacter sp. RNAcentral's name for it is "bacterial SSU rRNA". It matches the Rfam family "Bacterial small subunit ribosomal RNA", at positions 61 to 412 of the family's 1533-position model. Lineage: Bacteria; Fusobacteriati; Fusobacteriota; Fusobacteriia; Fusobacteriales; Fusobacteriaceae. The record is from RNAcentral.